RNAcentral lists this ribosomal RNA (564 nucleotides) under uncultured eukaryote. RNAcentral's name for it is "partial 18S ribosomal RNA". The record is from RNAcentral.
ACCAGACUUGCCCCCCAAUGGAUCCUUGUUAAGGGAUUUAGAUUGUACUCAUUCCAAUUACCAGACUCGAUGAGCCCAGUAUUGUUAUUUAUUGUCACUACCUCCCCAUGUCAGGAUAUGGUAAUUUGCGCGCCUGCUGCCUUCCUUCGAUGUGGUAGCCAUUUCUCAGGCUCCCUCUCCGGAAUCGAACCCUAAUUCUCCGUCACCCGUCACCACCAUGGUAGGCCUCUAUCCUACCAUCGAAAGUUGAUAGGGUAGAAAUUUGAAUGAAGCAUCGCCAGCACAAGGGUUGUGCGAUCCGUCGAGUUAUCAUGAUUCACCGGAGAAGCGGGCAAGCCCGCACCGACCUUAUAUCUAAAAAAUGCAUCCCUUCCAAAGAGUUGGGACUUGGUGCAUGUAUUAGCUCUAGAAUUACUACGGUUAUCUGAGUAGUAUGGUACCAUCAAAAAACCUAUAACUGAUUUAAUGAGCCAUCCGCAGUUUCACAGUCUGAAUUAGUUCAUACUUAGAUAUGCAUGGCUUAAUCUCUGAGACAAGCAUAUGACUACUGGCAGGAUCAACCAG